CCUACGGGUGUCAGCAGUGAGGAAUAUUGGUCAAUGGGCGCGAGCCUGAACCAGCCAAGUAGCGUGAAGGAUGACUGCCCUACGUGUUGUAAACUUCUUUUAUAAAGGAAUAAAGUGCGGCCCGUUUGCCUUUUUGUAUGUACUUUAUGACUAAGCAUCGGCUAACUCCGUGCCAGCAGCCGCGGUAAUACGGGGGAUGCAAGCGUUAUCCGGAUUUAUUGGGUUUAAAGGGUGCGUAGGCUGUGAGGUAAGUCAGCGGUGAAAUUCCCCGGCUCAACGGGGUGAAGUGCCAUUGAUACUGGCUUGCUGGAGUGAGGAUGAAGUGGGAGGAAUGUGUGGUGUAGCGGUGAAAUGCAUAGAUAUCACACAGAACACCGAUUGCGAAGGCAUCUCACGAAUCCGCGAUUGACGCUGAUGCACGAAAGCGUGGGUAUCAAACAGGAUUAGAUACCCGAGUAGUC
Molecule: ribosomal RNA, 461 nt
Filed under: uncultured bacterium
Lineage: Bacteria
Description: partial 16S ribosomal RNA
Rfam family: Bacterial small subunit ribosomal RNA
Source: RNAcentral